CUCAAGUCGCGCGCGGGAUAAGGAUCACUCUCUGUGCGCCGUGUGUGCGUGUGUGUCCGCUCGUCUAAACUGUGCUGGCUUUAUUAGUCAGCGGAUUGGGUCCGCCAUUAUCCUCAAAAAGUUGCACUGAACCGGUCAAGUGACUCUGCAGAUGUAAAAGAGGGGAAUUCACCGCUUGAAAACACCGAAGUAAAAUCGAUGAAUCGAGUGAUUGAAAAAUUCUAAAAUUCAACACAAUACUCUUCAAAGGAUAAACUAUUGAACCUAAGCCAAAAGUAAAUCUAUACACUCAAGAAUAUAAAAUUAGGACUAAUCAAAUACGUCGAGUAAGACAGUGAUUGCUACCUUAAUUAAGAGAAACGAAAAUUUCGCUGGAAUAUGUUUCUCAGCUCACGUAUGGCGGAAGUAAUUAAAUAUGGGUUCUGCGUUCUCGAAUUAUUCGUGAGACUAACCACAGAAUUUGAUUGUACUUCUGCAACACAUUCCUGAUUAAUUAAACUUGAAGAAAAAAUUUGUUAUCAAUACCACAGGAUAUGUACUUUAUCAUAAGAUACGGUAUAAAGAAGCCACGAGACUACAACAAUGCAAACAAAACUUAAUUUAUAUUUUCCAUAAAUAUAACUACGACUGUAAAAAUUUAAAUGACAUUCAAAUUCAUAAGUAAUUGCUUUUAAUAUUUGUAGUCAAGGUCGUAUAAGGGGUCGAGUAAUUGAAACAAUUCUGUCAAUUAAAAAGAACUGCAUAUUUUAUCGACUAAAUGAGCGUUAGACUACAUAGAUCGGCCACAAAAUUUAUUACGAUGACGCAAUGCUUCAACCUAUUAAUCGGUUUUGCAAAUAGUGGGUAGGAUUCACUAAAUUGACUUAACGAAGUUUCAUUUGCUAAAUAGCAGCUAUUAAGCUUUUACGGGGGCCUAUAUAUAAGUUGCAAAUUAAACAACAAUACAUUUUGCAUAUAUAUUGUAUGCGAUUGAGAAAAAGAGAUCAAAGGUUUUGACCUAAUUACAUUGAACUUAUUUUUGCAUUUUGAGUAAAUUAAAUUCUUUUCUUUAGGAAUUAUAAUUUUAAAUAUUCCAGUUUUGAAUAAGUGACUUUUUUGAAAAAGACCAAUUCUUCAUGAUUUUAAUGUGAUAAAUCACACGAUGAAUUCUUUAUAGUUAAAACACUUUUUUUUACUUCAGGUUUUGUACUCCGUGACACUAAGCCUGUCAAUACGUUAAAUUUCAACGCUGAUUUAGAGAUAAUUAAGGUGUGACUAUUCACAAACAAGGUGUUAAGAUUCGAGAUCAAGAGCGUCAAACCUGCUUAUUUAAUCAAGAUGUAAUAGUAAAAAUAGCACUAACUCUAUGUAAACUUCUCGGUAUAAGGCUGUUGAUUCACCGUACUAGAAAACCAAUGAUAUGUAUAGUACAGCCUAUGUAUAGUAUAUCUAUCAAAGUUUGCGCGUACAAAAAAAAAUCAUCCCGACGUUCUUAGAAUCCUUUCCUGUAGCUUCCUCUUUUUUAUGUAUGACAAUGUCAAAAGAGAUAAUUUAACUUUGAAAACCGAGUUUCCUGCUUUUAAAAAUGAAACAAUUCAAUUUAUAUCUUUUAUUGUCACAUUACAACCGAAAUGGAUUAAUCAAUAAAUCAUUUUCAUGAUAAAAACAAGGCAUACGAAUAUCAAUAAAUGUUCUUCAAUAUAUUGUUUGGCAAUAAAAAGCAUGAAAAAUAUAUUUUUUUAAUCAGCACAAGAAUAUUUAAACUAGAAAAGCUGAACUCAA
RNAcentral lists this long non-coding RNA (1761 nucleotides) under Nasonia vitripennis (jewel wasp). Its description in RNAcentral is "uncharacterized LOC107980683". The record is from RNAcentral. Lineage: Eukaryota; Metazoa; Arthropoda; Insecta; Hymenoptera; Pteromalidae.